UUUCUUCUUCUCCUCUUCUUUUUCUUGUUUUUCCUCUUCUUAUUUAUUUCUCCUCUUCUUCUCCUUUCUUAGUCUUCUUAUUUUCCUUUUUCCUCUCAUUAUUUUUCUUCUUCUUCCUUAUCUUCCUAACUAUAUAUAAUACUUUUCUAAAAAUGUAACUUUUGCAUAUAUAAAACUUUUUCUUCUUCUUCCUUCUUCCUUCUUCCUUCUCUUCCUUCUUUUCCUAAAUAUAUAAAAAAUUUCUAAAAAUAAAAC
RNAcentral lists this long non-coding RNA (255 nucleotides) under Hordeum vulgare. RNAcentral describes it as "long non-coding RNA (HVUL_LNC009909)". The record is from RNAcentral. Lineage: Eukaryota; Viridiplantae; Streptophyta; Magnoliopsida; Poales; Poaceae.